Long non-coding RNA from Piliocolobus tephrosceles (Ugandan red Colobus), 805 nucleotides. RefSeq lists it as uncharacterized. The transcript has 3 exons. The record is from RefSeq and is a predicted model, not a curated record. Lineage: Eukaryota; Metazoa; Chordata; Mammalia; Primates; Cercopithecidae.
AGACUUUUAUAUGUGUGAGCCUCUGUUAGCUUGAGUCUUCUGUUUUAUGCAGCCAAACUUAACCCUAACUGCCACACACCGUCUACUUACAUUUUAUGAUGCUCUCUCUAAUCUCUUAGGUAAUUGUAUCCUCCCAGAAACCUAUGGAGAGCUGAAGGGAUUUUAGGAACAUGGAAUCCACUCUCCUCCUUUGAUAAAAGAGGACAAAGGCCAGAGAGCUGUGCGAUGGCUGAGGCAGGCGAUUGUAAACCAAAAGGUGCCUGAGACUGAUAUCAAUCCAUUUAAAAGCUACAUCCCUUAGCUCAAUUUCCAUUUGGAGUGGCUUCUGGAAGGCUGGAAUUGAAAUCCACCAGUGCCCAUUUCAAGGUGUUCCCAACUUUGCCUGGAAAAAAAGGAGCCCGGAUACGCUUCCCUGUGGAUGCAGAAGAGCUUCAGCAUGAGGGGGGCAAUCCCUGCUGCCUUGUGGCUGCAAAAGGAGAGAGAAGGAGCCUCUCCAAAAAAGGGUUUCAUGAAAGCGCUGAGGCGAGAUACUUACUUCAGAGGGUUCAGGACAAGGACACUCACUUUGUUCUGUGUGGUGUGGAGACGCGGGUGAGCGUUCCUCAGUGGCACCAACUGGUUCCCUCUUGUCCUCAGCUUCCAGUGCCCUGGGACAUGUCAUUUGGACAAAACACUUUUCCAUGUCCUGCCAUCCAUUCCACAGGGGCAGGAGAAAAGGGUCUGGAGGCAGGAACAUAAGGCCGAUUCACCCUGACUUCGGAGAACUGAAUCAAAUGGAAAUUCUUGGGCUAUGACAGGAAAUAUC